GGCAGAAUAGCUCAGUUGGAUACCUUCGGGUUAGAAAGGUCGCAGGUUCGAAUCCUGCUUCAGCCA
This is a non-coding RNA of Favolaschia claudopus, 66 nucleotides long. The record is from the annotation of a GenBank genome assembly. Lineage: Eukaryota; Fungi; Basidiomycota; Agaricomycetes; Agaricales; Mycenaceae.